This 253-nucleotide ribosomal RNA is filed under the name uncultured bacterium. RNAcentral's name for it is "partial 16S ribosomal RNA". It matches the Rfam family "Bacterial small subunit ribosomal RNA", at positions 524 to 776 of the family's 1533-position model. The record is from RNAcentral.
GACGUAGGGCGCGAGCGUUGUCCGGAUUUAUUGGGCGUAAAGAGCGUGUAGGCGGCCAGACAGGUCCGUUGUGAAAACUCGAGGCUCAACCUCGAGACGCCGAUGGAAACCGUCUGGCUAGAGUCCGGAAGAGGAGAGUGGAAUUCCCGGUGUAGCGGUGAAAUGCGCAGAUAUCGGGAAGAACACCCGUGGCUAAGGCGGCUCUCUAGUACGGUACUGACGCUGAGACGCGAAAGCGUGGGGAGCGAACAGG